This 503-nucleotide ribosomal RNA is filed under the name uncultured bacterium. RNAcentral describes it as "bacterial SSU rRNA". It matches the Rfam family "Bacterial small subunit ribosomal RNA", at positions 28 to 526 of the family's 1533-position model. The record is from RNAcentral.
GAUGAACGCUAGCGGCAGGCCUAACACAUGCAAGUCGAGGGGCAGCGCGGGUAGCAAUACCUGGCGGCGACCGGCGCACGGGUGCGUAACACGUAUGCAAUCUGCCUUAAGCUGGGGAAUAACCCGGAGAAAUCCGGACUAAUACCCCAUGGCGCGUAAGAGUGGCAUCGCUUUUACGCUAAAGAUUUAUCGGCUUAAGAUGAGCAUGCGUCCUAUUAGCUAGUUGGCGGGGUAACGGCCCACCAAGGCGACGAUAGGUAGGGGUUCUGAGAGGAAGGUCCCCCACACUGGUACUGAGACACGGACCAGACUCCUACGGGAGGCAGCAGUGAGGAAUAUUGGUCAAUGGGCGAGAGCCUGAACCAGCCAUGCCGCGUGCAGGAUGACGGCCCUACGGGUUGUAAACUGCUUUUGUGCGGGAGCAAACCCUUCUUUGCGAAGGAGGUUGAGAGUACCGCAGGAAUAAGGAUCGGCUAACUCCGUGCCAGCAGCCGCCGUAAAAC